UACAGAGGUCUCGAGCGUUAGGCGGAAUCACUGGGCUUAAAGCGUGUGUAGGCGGAUCGGUAAGUACCUUGUGAAAUCCCACAGCUUAACUGGGGAACUGCGUCCGAUACUGGAUGGCUUGGAUUUGGGAGAGGGAUGCGGAAUUCCAGGUGUAGCGGUGAAAUGCGUAGAUAUCUGGAGGAACACCGGUGGCGAAGGCGGCAUCCUGGACCAAUAUUGACGCUGAGGAGCGAAAGCCAGGGGAGCGAACGGG
RNAcentral lists this ribosomal RNA (253 nucleotides) under uncultured bacterium. Its description in RNAcentral is "partial 16S ribosomal RNA". It matches the Rfam family "Bacterial small subunit ribosomal RNA", at positions 524 to 776 of the family's 1533-position model. The record is from RNAcentral.